GCCGCUUUAGCUCAGUUGGUAGAGCACAUCAUUCGUAAUGAUGGGGUCAGCUACGUCCCUUGCCCUCGAUCAUUUUCGCGCGGCGUCA
RNAcentral lists this transfer RNA (88 nucleotides) under Sphingomonadales bacterium. RNAcentral describes it as "tRNA-Thr". The record is from RNAcentral. Lineage: Bacteria; Pseudomonadati; Pseudomonadota; Alphaproteobacteria; Sphingomonadales.